GACGAACGCUGGCGGCGUGCUUAACACAUGCAAGUCGAACGAAGAGCGAUGGAAGCUUGCUUCUAUCAAUCUUAGUGGCGAACGGGUGAGUAACGCGUAAUCAACCUGCCCUUCAGAGGGGGACAACAGUUGGAAACGACUGCUAAUACCGCAUACGAUCUAAUCUCGGCAUCGAGGAUAGAUGAAAGGUGGCCUCUACAUGUAAGCUAUCACUGAAGGAGGGGAUUGCGUCUGAUUAGCUAGUUGGAGGGGUAACGGCCCACCAAGGCGAGGAUCAGUAGACGGACCACGAAGAUUCACAGCGACGUUGGGACAGAGACGCGGCCAAGACUACGACGAGAGGGAGCAGUGGUGAAGCUUCCGCAACGGACGAAAGUCUGAUGGAGCAACGCCGCGUGAGUGAUGACGGCCCUCGGGUUGUAAAGAUCUGUUAAUCGAGACGAAAGGACUUCUUGCGAAUAGAGAGAAGGAUUGACGGUACCGGAAAAGAAAGCCACGGCUAAAUCCGUG
This 510-nucleotide ribosomal RNA is filed under the name uncultured bacterium. Its description in RNAcentral is "partial 16S ribosomal RNA". It matches the Rfam family "Bacterial small subunit ribosomal RNA", at positions 28 to 507 of the family's 1533-position model. The record is from RNAcentral.